GUUGAUUUACUUAUCUUUUCUCGCUUCGAUCUCUGUUGAUUCCAGCAUUUAUUAUCAUUAAUUUCUCUCCAUUUUUUCAUGUCAAGUCCAAUGGCUGGUCCAGCCUACAGGAAACUGCGUAGAUAUUAGAUACAAGCUACUUUAUUUUUGGGGAGCUUUCUCUAUUUCUAUUUCUUGCUCUCUCCCCUUGGUUCCCGAGAAAAUGUAAUUUGAAGGAAAAUUGG
RNAcentral lists this unclassified non-coding RNA (224 nucleotides) under Hevea brasiliensis (rubber tree). The record is from RNAcentral. Lineage: Eukaryota; Viridiplantae; Streptophyta; Magnoliopsida; Malpighiales; Euphorbiaceae.